GACGAACGCUGGCGGCGUGCUUAACACAUGCAAGUCGAACGGUAAGGCCCCAGCUUGCUGGGGUACACGAGUGGCGAACGGGUGAGUAACACGUGGGUGACCUGCCCCGCACUUCGGGAUAAGCCUGGGAAACUGGGUCUAAUACCGGAUAGGACCGCACCGUGAGGGUGUGGUGGAAAGUUUUUCGGUGUGGGAUGGGCCCGCGACCUAUCAGCUUGUUGGUGGGGUAAUGGCCUACCAAGGCGGCGACGGGUAGCCGGCCUGAGAGGGUGGACGGCCACAUUGGGACUGAGACACGGCCCAGACUCCUACGGGAGGCAGCAGUGGGGAAUAUUGCACAAUGGGCGGAAGCCUGAUGCAGCGACGCCGCGUGGGGGAUGACGGCCUUCGGGUUGUAAACUCCUUUCACCAUCGACGAAGGUUUUCUGACGGUAGAUGGAGAAGAAGCACCGGCUAACUACGUG
RNAcentral lists this ribosomal RNA (464 nucleotides) under uncultured bacterium. RNAcentral's name for it is "partial 16S ribosomal RNA". It matches the Rfam family "Bacterial small subunit ribosomal RNA", at positions 28 to 507 of the family's 1533-position model. The record is from RNAcentral.